This 700-nucleotide unclassified non-coding RNA is filed under the name Hevea brasiliensis (rubber tree). Lineage: Eukaryota; Viridiplantae; Streptophyta; Magnoliopsida; Malpighiales; Euphorbiaceae. The record is from RNAcentral.
AUUUUUAUUAUGGAAGAUUUUCUGUAACAUGUAAAUUUUGGAGGGAUUUUCUUCCAUCUAAAUGUACUUGUUGCUAGAUCUGUUCAAUAGUGUAAAACCUAAAGAGGAUGUUGUAAAGAAAUUGGUCCAAAUUCAUAUAUGUUGCUCCUGUUACAUAUUAUUUCGAUCAAGACAUUUGUUUACUAUUAUUUCUGAUUGAACUCUCACUAUGAUUCUUGUGAUAUGUGAUCUAUUUUGUACAGCUGUGAGACAGAUAAUGACUAAAACUUGGAUAUUUAGUUGUCACAUGCUGUUGUAGCAGUACCUCCUUGGAUUGACUGUAUGAAAUGGAUCAUGUUGGAUUCCUGUCUACAUUAGGUGGAAUAUUCAUAGUUGUGUCAUUUAUAAGAAUUUAUGUACCCUAGUGUUUUCUUGGUUUCUAGUUUCUGUGGGAUAAUAUGUACCUAGUGGUUUCUUGAUUUCUAAUUUCUAUUUGGAUAAUAUGUCAACAUCUUAGGUGGUGCUGUUAGGCAUCCGUUAUGUUAUUUUUUCAACUAAUUUUUUCUUACAUCCGCUGUUAUUUAUUCUAAAUUCUGCAUUUUGUUGAUGGGGCGUUUUUAUAUUGGUCUGUGUAGUCUGCUUCUCAAGUUCAUGGGGGUCAAUUUGCAGCAGGUUUUGUGGAUGGUUCUGUCAGACUCUAUGAUAUCCGGACACCUGAAAU